Non-coding RNA from Ictidomys tridecemlineatus (thirteen-lined ground squirrel), 71 nucleotides. The record is from Rfam. Lineage: Eukaryota; Metazoa; Chordata; Mammalia; Rodentia; Sciuridae.
GGGGUUGUAGCUCAGUGGUAGAGCUCUUGCCCAGCACAUGUAAGGCACUGGGUUUGCUUCCCAGCACCCCA